GACGAACGCUGGCGGCGUGCUUAACACAUGCAAGUCGAACGGAAAGGCCCUGCUUUUGUGGGGUGCUCGAGUGGCGAACGGGUGAGUAACACGUGAGUAACCUGCCCUUGACUUUGGGAUAACUUCAGGAAACUGGGGCUAAUACCGGAUAGGAGCUCCUGCUGCAUGGUGGGGGUUGGAAAGUUUCGGCGGUUGGGGAUGGACUCGCGGCUUAUCAGCUUGUUGGUGGGGUAGUGGCUUACCAAGCCUUUGACGGGUAGCCGGCCUGAGAGGGUGGCCAGCCACAUUGGGACUGAGAUACGGCCCAGACUCCUACGGGCGGCAGCAGUGGGGAAUAUUGCGCAAUGGGCGGAAGCCUGAUGCAGCAACGCCGCGUGCGGGAUGACGGCCUUCGGGUUGUAAACCGCUUUCGCCUGUGACGAAGCGUGAGUGACGGUAAUGGGUAAAGAAGCACCGGCUAACUACGUG
Molecule: ribosomal RNA, 468 nt
Filed under: uncultured bacterium
Lineage: Bacteria
Description: partial 16S ribosomal RNA
Rfam family: Bacterial small subunit ribosomal RNA
Source: RNAcentral